CAAGUCGAACGAGAAAGUCCCCUUCGGGGGAUGAGUAAAGUGGCGCACGGGUGAGUAACACGUAGGUAAUCUACCUUCGGGUGGGGAAUAACCCAGGGAAACUUGGGCUAACACCGCAUAAUGCAGCGGCACCACAUGGUGACAGUUGUUAAAGCGGGGGAUUUUAGGACCUCGCGCCUGAAGAGGAGCCUGCGGCGGAUUAGCUAGUUGGUAGGGUAACGGCUUACCAAGGCGACGAUCCGUAACCGGCCUGAGAGGGCGGUCGGUCACACUGACACUGACAUACGGGUCAGACUCCUACGGGAGGCAGCAGUCGGGAAUUUUGGGCAAUGGGCGAAAGCCUGACCCAGCAACGCCGCGUGAAGGAUGAAAUCCCUCGGGAUGUAAACUUCGCAAGAAUAGGAAGAAUUAGUAGGGGCUAAUACCCCCUAUGAUGACGGUACUAUUUGUAAGCUCCGGCUAACUCCGUGCCAGCAGCCGCGGUAAUACGGGGGGAGCAAGCGUUGUUCGGAUUUACUGGGCGUAAAGGGCGCGUAGGCGGUAGCACAAGUCAGUUGUGAAAUCUCCGGGCUUAACUCGGAAAGGUCAACUGAUACUGUGCGACUAGAGUGCAGAAGGGGCAACUGGAAUUCUCGGUGUAGCGGUGGAAUGCGUAGAUAUCGAGAGGAACACCUGCGGCGAAGGCGGGUUGCUGGGCUGACACUGACGCUGAGGCGCGAAAGCCAGGGGAGCGAACGGGAUUAGAUACCCCGGUAGUCCUGGCCUUAAACGAUGGAUGCUUGGUGUCUGGAGUUUUAUAGUCUCCGGGUGCCGCAGCUAACGCGUUAAGCAUCCCGCCUGGGGAGUACGGUCGCAAGACUGAAACUCAAAGGAAUUGACGGG
Molecule: ribosomal RNA, 882 nt
Filed under: uncultured Bacillota bacterium
Lineage: Bacteria; Bacillati; Bacillota
Description: bacterial SSU rRNA
Rfam family: Bacterial small subunit ribosomal RNA
Source: RNAcentral